Molecule: ribosomal RNA, 480 nt
Filed under: uncultured bacterium
Lineage: Bacteria
Description: partial 16S ribosomal RNA
Rfam family: Bacterial small subunit ribosomal RNA
Source: RNAcentral
GAUGAACGCUGGCGGCGUGCCUAACACAUGCAAGUCGAACGGAGAUUACGGACGGAAGUUUUCGGAUGGAAGACUGUAAUUCUUAGUGGCGGACGGGUGAGUAACGCGUGGGCAACCUGCCCUAUACCGGGGGAUAGCAGCUGGAAACGGCUGGUAAGACCGCAUAAGUCGGCGAGACCGCAUGGUUUGCCGGGAAAUGAGCAAUCAGGUAUAGGAUGGGCCCGCGUCCGAUUAGCCAGUUGGCAGGGUAAAAGCCUACCAAAGCAACGAUCGGUAGCCGGACUGAGAGGUCGGACGGCCACAUUGGGACUGAGACACGGCCCAAACUCCUACGAGAGGCAGCAGUGGGGGAUAUUGCACAAUGGAGGAAACUCUGAUGCAGCGACGCCGCGUGAGUGAAGAAGUAUUUCGGUAUGUAAAGCUCUAUCAGCAGGGAAGAUGAUGAUGGUACCUGACUAAGAAGCCCCGGCUAACUACGUG